AUGUUAGUGCUAGUCUCGGCCAACAUCGCAUUGCCCAACUGCACCAGCAGAUGCGGCAACAUAAGCAUACCUUACCCGUUCGGCCUCAGUGCCGGGUGCCACCGUGAAGGCUUCGAGCUCACCUGCAACGAGACAUAUCAUCCCCCAAAGCUCUUCAUGAACAGCUCCGGAGUCGAAGUGCUUGAAAUAUCAUCGCAAGACAGCACACUGUACAUUGACAGUGGGAUCCUCACCUUGGCGGGCGAUGAGGGGCCCGACGGUUUUAUCCGUAUGAAUUGGUCAGUCCCCCUUAACGACAGCCUAUAUAGGACAGCAGGGAAUACAAUGAUUGUUCUGGGGUGUGGAAUCACUUUCCGUGUUCAAUGGCCUUCUGCUCAAAGCUGGCCUUAUCUUGGCGAGGAAUCUCCAAGCAGCUCUUGUCCUCUGAAAUGCAUGCCGCCCCAUCCUGUGAUAGCAACUGAUGGCAUAUGUCUUCAUGACAAUGGUUGUUGCACUACAGGUACCCGUUAUGACUCAAAUAGGUUUCUCAUCACGUACUCUGUGUACGAAGAGAACUUGCCGCUGCUCAACUCAAGUGUUGCUUUGGUGGAGUGGGAAUGGUUGAGCAAGAAGAAGAAUGUCAUGAUUCUGCAGAAGGCAGCAUCGUCUGACACCAGCCUUGGUGCCUCCAAAGGCGAUAUCGACGAGUGUGCAAGUCAAGGCGAGUACCCUUGCUUUGGUCGGUGCAUCAAUAUGAUAGGGUCAUAUACCUGUACCUGUCCGCAUGGCACCACUGGUAAUCCUCGAAAAAAAAAUGGAACUCAUAAUCUAGAUGAAAGUGAAUUGAUUAUGUACUCUCCAGGAUUUGCACCUGCGCUAGGAAUCGGCAGCGGUCUAGGCACUCUUCUGAUUAUUCUGAGUGCUCUCAUUGCAAGACGAAAGCUCUUAGUUUGGAAAGCAAGGAAGUCAAGAGAAUUUUUCUUCAAAAAGAACAGAGGGCUGUUGCUACAGCGGCUUGUAGACAAGGAUAUUGCUGAAAGGAUGCUGUUCAGUUUACAGGAGCUUGAGAAGGCAACAAAUAAGUUUGACGAGGCUCGAAAACUCGGAGGUGGAGGCCACGGUACUGUCUACAAAGGGAUUUUAUCUGACAAACAUGUUGUUGCCAUCAAGAAGUCAAAAGUUGUAAUCCAGAGAGAAACAGAUGAUUUCAUCAAUGAGGUUGCCAUCCUUUCUCAGGUGAACCACAGGAACGUAGUGAAGCUCUUCGGAUGUUGUCUCGAGACAGAAGUUCCAUUGUUGGUCUACGAAUUCAUUUCAAAUGGAACUCUUUCUGAUCAUCUUCAUGCCGGUACACCACUAUCAAUGCCAUGGAAAGACCGGCUCAGAAUAGCCAUUGAAACCUCAAGGUGCCUUGCUUAUCUGCACUCAGCUGCUUCAGUAUCAAUAGUCCAUAGAGAUGUCAAGUCCGCAAACAUACUACUUGAUGAUCGCGUCACAGCCAAAGUAUCGGAUUUUGGAGCUUCAAGAGGCAUCCCCAUUGGCCAAACUGGAGUCACAACUGCCGUUCAAGGAACUUUCGGAUAUUUGGAUCCGGAAUACUACCACACACGGCGACUCACCGAGAAAAGUGAUGUAUAUAGCUUUGGUGUCAUGCUUGUGGAGCUAUUAACAAGGAAGAAGCCAUGUGUCGACCUGUCAACACCAGGAGCCAGUCUAAUUGCUGAAUUCAUCUUGCGAGUGAACCAAGACAAAAUCUGUGAGAUGCUAGACCAGCAAGUCAUCGAAGAAGGGACUGAAGAGGCCAAACAAGUUGCAGCAGUAGCACUGAUGUGCUUAAGUUUAAAGGGUGAAGAUAGGCCCACAAUGAGGCAAGUUGAGACAAAACUUGAAGUGAUCCAAACUGUAGAAAGAAAUACACCAGUGGAACAAACCAACGCCAAUGCUGAUGAUGACAACUUCAGUAGACGAUAUAGUAUGGAGGAAGAGUGCAUGUCAUCUAUGAGUUUCCCUAGGUAG
This 1995-nucleotide ribosomal RNA is filed under the name Triticum aestivum (bread wheat). Its description in RNAcentral is "partial small subunit ribosomal RNA". The record is from RNAcentral. Lineage: Eukaryota; Viridiplantae; Streptophyta; Magnoliopsida; Poales; Poaceae.